Molecule: long non-coding RNA, 364 nt
Organism: Eriocheir sinensis (Chinese mitten crab)
Lineage: Eukaryota; Metazoa; Arthropoda; Malacostraca; Decapoda; Varunidae
Exons: 3
Source: RefSeq, a predicted model, not a curated record
UGAUACUUGCUACUUUAAUUCCUAUCUCGCUACUCUUGCUACUGUUGGCGAUGCCUGUGGUCAAGCUAUUUGGCAACGCUGCGCGCUGCCUCCUUCUUCCCCAGGACACAGCCGCGGACGAGGCAUCGCCAUGGCUGCCCACAAGACGUUCCGCAUUAAGACCAAGUUGGCUAAAAAGAUGAAGCAGAACCGUCCCAUCCCGCCAUGGAUCAGGAACUGCACUGGCAACAAGAUCAGAUAUAAUGCCAAGAGGCGCCACUGGAGGAGGACCAAGCUCAAGCUGUAAACUGCUACUCCCUGGCUGUGGCAGUUGAUGCUGAAAGUCCUGUGACAACCUUGUGGCUAAAUAAAGUGGAUAAGCCUA